GAUGAAGAACGCAGCGAAAUGCGAUAAGUAAUGUGAAUUGCAGAAUUCAGUGAAUCAUCGAAUCUUUGAACGCACAUUGCGCCCUCUGGUAUUCCGGGGGGCAUGCCUGUUCGAGCGUCAUUAUAACCACUCAAGCUCUCGCUUGGUAUUGGGGUUCGCGGUUCCGCGGCCCCUAAAAUCAGUGGCGGUGCCUGUUGGCUCUACGCGUAGUAAUACUCCUCGCGAUUGAGUCCGGUAGGUCUACUUGCCAGCAACCCCCAAUUUUUACAGGUUGACCUCGGAUCAGGUAGGGAUACCCGCUGAACUUAAGCAUAUCAAUAAGCGGAGGA
RNAcentral lists this unclassified non-coding RNA (329 nucleotides) under soil metagenome. RNAcentral describes it as "partial contains 5.8S ribosomal RNA, internal transcribed spacer 2, and large subunit ribosomal RNA". The stretch from base 1 to 120 matches the Rfam family "5.8S ribosomal RNA", at positions 35 to 154 of the family's 154-position model. The record is from RNAcentral.